CCUACGGGAGGCAGCAGUGGGGAAUAUUGCACAAUGGGGGAAACUCUGAUGCAGCGACGCCGCGUGAGUGAAGAAGUAUUUCGGUAUGUAAAGCUCUAUCAGCAGGGAAGAAAAUGACGGUACCUGAUUAAGAAGCCCCGGCUAACUACGUGCCAGCAGCCGCGGUAAUACGUAGGGGGCAAGCGUUAUCCGGAUUUACUGGGUGUAAAGGGAGCGUAGACGGCAGCACAAGUCUGGAGUGAAAUGCCGGGGCUUAACCCCGGAACUGCUUUGGAAACUGUGCAGCUAGAGUGCAGGAGAGGUAAGUGGAAUUCCUAGUGUAGCGGUGAAAUGCGUAGAUAUUAGGAGGAACACCAGUGGCGAAGGCGGCUGACUGGACUGUAACUGACGUUGAGGCUCGAAAGCGUGGGGAGCAAACAGGAUUAGAUACCCGAGUAGUC
RNAcentral lists this ribosomal RNA (440 nucleotides) under uncultured bacterium. RNAcentral's name for it is "partial 16S ribosomal RNA". It matches the Rfam family "Bacterial small subunit ribosomal RNA", at positions 338 to 795 of the family's 1533-position model. The record is from RNAcentral.